Molecule: ribosomal RNA, 489 nt
Filed under: Triticum aestivum (bread wheat)
Lineage: Eukaryota; Viridiplantae; Streptophyta; Magnoliopsida; Poales; Poaceae
Description: partial small subunit ribosomal RNA
Source: RNAcentral
AUGCCAGAGCCACCAGCAGCAACAGCACCAACUGCAAGAGAGCAUGUACUUCCUCCCCAUCUCGAAUCACUAGUAAUAGGGGACUGUGCUGGCAUGUUGGGUGGGACUCUUUGUCUGCCUGCACCCCUCAAGAGAAUGUACAUUAUUGGCAACAGUGGAUUGACAUCGCUGGAGUGUCUGUCGGGAGAGCACCCCCCAUCGCUGGAAUUCCUUUUUCUUGAAAGAUGCAGUACCCUGGCAUCCCUGCCGAAUGAGCCGCACGUAUACAGUUCUCUCGGGUAUCUUGAAAUUAGAGGCUGCCCUGCUAUAAAGAAGCUCCCUAGAUGCCUGCAGCAGCAGCUGGGCAGCAUUGACGACAAAUAUCUAGAUGCCCGGUAUGAAGUGAUGGCACUUAAACCGGAGACAUGGAAGGAGAUACCAAGGCUAGUCCGUGAGCGGAGGAAGGCCGCUCAAGAAGCCAAGAUACUCUGGCAGUCCAUGCAUGAGUAG